GGUCUUGUGGUCUAGUGGUAUGAUUCUCGCUUAGGGGUACGCACCCCAAUCAUAAAAGAUUUAUGCGAGAGGCCCCGCGUUCGAGUCGCGGCAAGACCC
Ascosphaera aggregata is the source of this 99-nucleotide non-coding RNA. NCBI's taxonomy places the organism in Eukaryota, Fungi, Ascomycota, Eurotiomycetes, Onygenales, Ascosphaeraceae. The record is from the annotation of a GenBank genome assembly.